This 597-nucleotide long non-coding RNA is filed under the name Elaeis guineensis (African oil palm). Its description in RNAcentral is "long non-coding RNA (EGUI_LNC082757)". Lineage: Eukaryota; Viridiplantae; Streptophyta; Magnoliopsida; Arecales; Arecaceae. The record is from RNAcentral.
UCCUUUACCAUUGUCUCCAAAGAUGACCAUCCCUCCAUUCUUAGCAUCAAGUAUGAUGAAUUGAGAUUCAUCACCAGUCAUGUAUCUCGAGCAUCCGCUAUCAAGAUACCAUUUUCUGUUUUCUCCUUGGGAUGCUAGACACACCUGCAGGCAAAAGUCAAGUUUUUAUUUUAGGUACCCAAGCUUUCUUGGGUCCUUUUUGGUUAGUCAUAAUGGUUCCUUUUGGAACCCAUAUUUUCUUUACAUUUGAGUUUACAGAUUUGGUAGAGAAGCAAGUGUAUGACUUGUGUCCUACUCUACCACAUUUGAAGCAAGUAAUAUUAGAAAACUUGUUACUUGAAAAGUUUACAUAGAUAUUUUUCAGAUACUUUUAUUUCUUCAAGGGGUUAUAGCCAAGUCCAGCCUUAUCAUACACGACCUUUUGAUUUUCAAGAAUCAUAUUAAGUUUAUUAGAACUCAAGGUGAAUUUUUCAACUAUUGGUUUUAGCUUGGCAAUUUUAUUCUUUAAAUUUUGAUUUUCUUGAAACAGGGUAGAUUUUUCAAUUGAAAUGCUUUCAUUUUGUUUCAGUAAAGAUUGAUUUUUUGAUUUUAGAUCUU